Ailuropoda melanoleuca (giant panda) is the source of this 373-nucleotide long non-coding RNA. RefSeq lists it as uncharacterized. The transcript has 3 exons. NCBI's taxonomy places the organism in Eukaryota, Metazoa, Chordata, Mammalia, Carnivora, Ursidae. The record is from RefSeq and is a predicted model, not a curated record.
GGGGCAGAGCUUCUUCUUGCUCUUGGAGUACAUUAAAUUGCACAUCCAACCUAUUGGCCACUGCAGGUAACUCUCUAUGGGAUCACUGGCCACUGGGUACACAGAUAAUCCAUAUACCCUACCUAUGCUGCAGAAUGAUGAAGGUUUUGCACAAGCUCUCCACUACGUUGUGUAAGGACAUUCUGUAGCAGUGCUGUCUGUUCCUCAGAAAUCAGACCAUCAGAUUUUUAUUCACAACCUACUGGGGGUGACCAAACAGAGAAAUGGUGACUUCCAAUGACAAGUCACGUGAAAGUGUUAAGAUAACAAGAACCUCAUUCUGCUUGAAGCUGCCAAAAAUAGGUAAGCUGGCCAAGAUGCUAAAGAAUAACUG